UGCGUAGGCGGGCGAAUAAGUCAGCGGUGAAAUCACUCAGCUUAACUGAGUAACUGCCGUUGAUACUGUUAGUCUAGAAUAUAAAUGGUGCAGGCGGAAUGAAUCAUGUAGAGGUGACAUUCAUAGAUAUGAUUCAGAACACCGAUCGCGAAGGCAGCUUGCAAAGAUAUUAUUGACGCUGAGGCACGAAAGCGUGGGUAGCGAACA
RNAcentral lists this ribosomal RNA (207 nucleotides) under uncultured Bacteroidota bacterium. RNAcentral's name for it is "uncultured Bacteroidetes bacterium partial 16S ribosomal RNA". It matches the Rfam family "Bacterial small subunit ribosomal RNA", at positions 568 to 774 of the family's 1533-position model. The record is from RNAcentral. Lineage: Bacteria; Pseudomonadati; Bacteroidota.